This 496-nucleotide ribosomal RNA is filed under the name uncultured bacterium. RNAcentral describes it as "partial 16S ribosomal RNA". It matches the Rfam family "Bacterial small subunit ribosomal RNA", at positions 28 to 506 of the family's 1533-position model. The record is from RNAcentral.
GAUGAACGCUGGCGGCGUGCCUAAUACAUGCCAGUCGAGCGAACAGAUGAGGAGCUUGCUCCUCUGACGUUAGCGGCGGACGGGUGAGUAACACGUGGAUAACCUACCUAUAAGACUGGGAUAACUUCGGGAAACCGGAGCUAAUACCGGAUAAUAUAUUGAACCGCAUGGUUCAAUAGUGAAAGACGGUUUUGCUGUCACUUAUAGAUGGAUCCGCGCCGCAUUAGCUAGUUGGUAAGGUAACGGCUUACCAAGGCAACGAUGCGUAGCCGACCUGAGAGGGUGAUCGGCCACACUGGAACUGAGACACGGUCCAGACUCCUACGGGAGGCAGCAGUAGGGAAUCUUCCGCAAUGGGCGAAAGCCUGACGGAGCAACGCCGCGUGAGUGAUGAAGGUCUUCGGAUCGUAAAACUCUGUUAUUAGGGAAGAACAAAUGUGUAAGUAACGAUGCACGUCUGGACGGUACCUAAGCAGAAAGCCACGGCUAACUACGU